GAUCUAGAACCAGAAAUACCAUUUGACCCAGCAAUCCCAUUACUGGGUAUAUAACCACAGGACUAGAAAUCAUUCUACUAUAAAGACACUCACAAUAGCAAAGACUUGAAACCAACUCAGAUGCCUGUCAAUGAUAGGGUGGAUAAAGAAAAUGUGGCACGUAAACACCAUGGAACACUAUGCUGUCAUAAAAAAGGAUGAGUUCAUGUCCUUUGCAAGGACAUGGCUGAAGCUGGAAACCUUCAUUCUCAGCAAACAAACACAGGAAAAGAAAACCAAACACUGCAUGUGCUUAUUCAUAAGUUGGAGUCGAACAAUGAGACCACAUGGAUUGAAGGGGGACAUCCCACACUGGAGCCUGUUGUGGGGUGGGGCCCAGGGGAGGGAUAGCAUUAGGAAAAAUACCUAAUGCAGAUGACAGGUUGAUGGAUGCAGCAAACCACCAUGGCACAUGUAUACCUAUAUAACAAACCUACAUGUUCUGCACAUGUAUCCCAGAACUUAAAGUAACAUUAAAAAAAAAAGAAAAAGAAUCCUCUUGCAACCCAAUGCAAGUAUACACCUUGUGUGUACAAUAUUGUUUCACUUUAUUAUUCAAUAUAACACUCAACUCUCUUAACUGAAUCCUUAACAAGAGCAAUACCCUCACUAUGUGAUUCAUGAGUCUAUGCCCAGUUUUAAAGUGAUACCUAAUAUAUAAUAUUCACUCUAUAAAUGUUUUAUGAAUUCAUAAAUUUAGCAGAUAUUUGCAGAUAUCUAUGCAUUUCAUACUGAAUGCAUAGAUGAAUGUUCUGCUAAAUAUCAAGCAGCUAUAUCUUUGAGAAAAGACUGUGGCGUUGUCAAUAGAAAGGUUCUUAAAAGCGGCAGGGAUUGAUGAAGCUUUUAUAUAUACGGUUAACUCUCAGAUGACCAGCAGCACUUUCUAAAUCCGCGGGAAGUUAGUAAUUCCGUAAAGGCACAGUUUCACCCCUUCCUCAUUUCAUGUAUCGCUCAUGAUGAAAGGACUGGGGGCCCUGCCUGCCACACUUUUCCGUUUUUCUGUUGCUCCCACCGAAGCCGCAUGCCCGGCACCAUCCCAGCACCAUGAGCUUUGGCUGGGAGCACUACCUGUGCUCCUCCUCCUCCUACCUUAAAGUGUUGGGGAUGGCUCUCGCCUGUCCAUGCCUCUCCGGGUCAGCGGCGCGGGCAGCUUUCGCUCGCAGUCGGUGUCCCGCUGCAAUGUGGCCUCCUGGAUCAACUGCUCCUUGGCCACGUCGCUCGGCCUCUGCCUCUGCCUCGGCCUGGCCUACCGCCGGCCGCCGGCGUCUGACAGGCUGGACCUAAGCCAGACAACAGCGCGCACCAACGAGUACAAGAUCAGCUGCACCAACGAGGAGCAGCUGCAGGGCCUCGAUGACCGCUUCACGGUGUUCAUCGAAGGUGCAUUAGCAGGAUACGCAGAACCGCGCGCUGGAGACUGAGCUGGCCGCGCUGAGGCAGCGCCACGCCGAGCCGUCGCGCAUCUGCGAGCUCUUCCGAUUUGCGCGCGCAACUGGAGGAGGCGAGCUCGGCGCACGCGCAGGCCCUGCUGGAGCGCUACUGGCUGGCCGAGGAGGUGCAGCUGUUGCGGAUGCGUUGCGAGGAGGUGAGCUGUGGACGCGAAGCGCGGAGCGCGGAGCGCGCCCUGAGGCGCAGCAGCGCGACGUGGACGGCGCCACGUGGACGGUGCCACGUUGGCCCGCCCGAACCUGGAGUAGAAGGUGGAGUCGCUGCUAGACAAGCUGGCCUUCGUGCGCCUGGUGUACCAUGAGGAGGCAGCCAAGCUACUGGCCACGCUUCAGCUGUCAUCACAGGCCGCAGCCGAGGUGGAUGUGGCUGUGGCUAAAACAGACCUGAGCUUGGCGCUGAGGGAGAUUCACGCCCAGUAUGAGUCCCUGGCCACUAAGAACGGGCAGUCCUUGGAGUAAUGGCACAAGUUCAAGUUUGCCAACCUGAACCAGCAGGUGGCGAGCAGCACCGAGGCCGUCCAGGCCAGCACGAGGAGAUCCACGAGUACCGUGCCAGCUGCAGGCGCGCACCAUCGAGAUCGAGAGCCUGUGCGGGGCCAAGGAGUCCUUGGAGAGGGAUAUCCUGGAGCUGGAGGAGCGGCACAGUGCCGACGUGGCUGGCUACCAGGAUAGCACUGGGCAGCUGGAGAAUGAUCUGAGGAACACCAACAGUAAGAUGGCACGCCACCUUUGGGAAUACCAGGGCUUGCUCAAUGUCAAUAUGACUCUUGACAUUGAGGUAGCAGCUUACGGGGAACUGCUGGAAGGUGAAGAGACACGUUUUAGCACCAGUGGGUUAAGCAUUUCGGGGCUGAAUCCACUUCCCAAUCCAGGUUAUCUGCUCCCACCUAGAAUCCUCAGUUCUACAACCUCCAAAGUCUCAUACUCUGGGCUAUCUCUUAAGAAACAGGAGAAGGAGGCAUCUAAGGUAGCAUCUAAGCAAACCUCCCAGAUAGGGGAAAGUUUUGAAGAAAUGUUAGAGGAGACAGUAAUAUCUACUAAGAAAACUGAGAAAUCAAAUAUAGAAGAAACCACCAUUUCAAGCCAAAAAAUAAAAUGCCACUGCUUUGAAAAAGUUAAUGCUUAAAAGGAAAUGAUAUGCAUUUGACUUGUUAAACAGCCUAUCCCUAAACCAUAACACCUGCCACCACUAUAAAAUGUCUUUAAGGCUUCAGUCUCAUAUUUAGUAUUUAAUAUUUACAUUCUCUAAUAAGAAAACCACCCCUUAGAUUAAAGUAAACUGCAGUCCUGGAGCAAUCACAGACGAGUUAUCUGAGAAUACAGCUUUCUGACUUUCAGCCCAAGCUUCACAGUGAUCGAUGAUUCAGGUGCAGAGGAAGUACAAACUAAGGUACUAAGUCUGUGAUCAUCGUCAUUUGCUGUGAACUGAAAUUAAAAUUGUUGACGUUACUCAGCCAUUACCCAGCUAAAUAAUCUUACUCUAGAUACCUAAAACAUAAGAUUACUGCCAUAGAUAAACUAAUGGUCCACACCCAAUUCCACUCUGAUAGAAUAGUUUAAUAUGUGUUUAUUUAAUGUACACCUUCUACCUCCCUCAAUUUCAUAUAUCCUUUUUUUCCAUGCAGGAAAAAAAUUGUCUAGUGUAGUAGUCUUCCCAUUUAAACACAUUUUGGUUUUUGUCAAAAGA
Molecule: RNA transcript, 3174 nt
Organism: Sapajus apella (tufted capuchin)
Lineage: Eukaryota; Metazoa; Chordata; Mammalia; Primates; Cebidae
Gene name: alpha-internexin pseudogene
Exons: 1
Source: RefSeq, a predicted model, not a curated record